RNAcentral lists this ribosomal RNA (313 nucleotides) under uncultured Agaricales. RNAcentral's name for it is "eukaryotic LSU rRNA". The stretch from base 258 to 313 matches the Rfam family "Eukaryotic large subunit ribosomal RNA", at positions 1 to 56 of the family's 3401-position model. The record is from RNAcentral. Lineage: Eukaryota; Fungi; Basidiomycota; Agaricomycetes; Agaricales.
UACUCUCGUGGUGAAUCAUCGAAUCUUUGAACGCACUUUGCACUGUCUGGAAUCCCAGACAGUAUACCUGUUUGAGUAUUGUUUCAAAAUCACUUUAUCGUUUAGGUACAUAUACAUGUGAAUUUGGGGUAUAAUGGUUGCAUAAACCAUUUUCCUUUAAACAAAACUAAUCGUCCUACUAGAGCAGUCCGAAAGGUCACUCUAAUAGUUACGAUAUCCAUUGAAAAGAUGAAUAUGAAAAGUAUCGUCUUGAAUUACAAUCUCAAAUCAGAUAAGAUUACCCGCUGAACUUAAGCAUAUCAAUAAGCGGAGG